CGAGAAUUUUUACGGCUUCAAUUGAUUACCAAUUUAAAUUUAAUUCUAUUGCCAGUUUUUAAGUGUAGGGACUUGCACUUAGGUUGUUUCCUUUUCCAUGUUGUUGCUGCUGUUAUUGUUUUUGUGGAAGGUGAUAAGCAAGCUUAAUUGAUCCGUAAGUUCCAAACCAAACCAUGGGACUUACCUGCUACAAGCCCAGGAUUCAGGAACAUGAUACAAAAUAAAAUUAGCACAGAGGAUAAAGGGGAUACUUAAUUACAAUUGCUUCUAACUAAUAAAAACGAGAUUUACAAUAAAAAUUAAUUUCUCAACUCUUAGUCUUACCCCAUCUAGAGCACACCUUUCUUACUGUUUGUAAUAUUCUUCAUGUAAUUGGGAAAAUUCAUAAUUUUAUUCUGUAGGCAUUAAAGGAAAACUGAUAAUUAUAUUUUGUGGGCAUUAGAGAAUAAACUUUAUUGAAUAUGCUGAUUGUUAACCAGAAAUGACAUUAGCAUUCCAAGCUAACUUUGAACAAAAAAAUGAUUUGGAAAGCUUUGCCUUUCAAAGCUUUAACAGCCUAUGCGAACUUUUCAUUCCAGUCUUCAACAGCUUUGUGCAAUUUUUUUCCCAAGAUCAGCUUGGAGAACUUGGAAGUUUAAAAUGGGUGAUUUGAGUAUCCACAUGUGUAUCACACAACAAGCAUUGAACAGAAGACAAAUUCCCCUAUUUGUUUGUUGCCGACUUGCUGUUCUCUUGUAGGAGGUUUAUUGAGAAACCCAAUGAAGAAACAAAACAAUGCGUUGUAAUAGAAAGUAAAAACAAACUAUCUUGUGCCAAGUAAUCUUUGGAUCUUUAAAUGUCCCAAGCACUAGCAGGCAGAAAACAUACCAACUUUGCAGCGACAUAUAGAGCUUGUCCUGCUCUUGAUGAUUAUCGUAGAUAAUCCCACAAAUCAUGCCUUUAAUAUAAGCUAAUCAUUGUAAUUAGCAGCAGGCCUGCACCAAUGAUCCCUAGAAACAAAAAUUGCCUUUUAGAACAUAUAGGAAUUCAAGAAUCACACAGUAUUCUUGCACUAGAUUUAACAAGAAAGGCCCAUGUGGAUACAAAUGAUCUAACCAUAGAUAAGUAUUCUUGCCAUUUUCAAUUCUGUGAAAAUGUGAAGUUUGAUUUUCUCUUAAUUAUCAAAAUUUUUCUAUAAGCCCAUAAUAAUUCACCUCGCUUUGAGAGAAACCUAUAGCUUCUGUUAUGAAAUCCAAUAUGCCAUUUGGGAUUUUUUUUUGUCUUUUGGUUGUCUGAAUUUUCUGACUUUCAGUCUACCUUUCUAUUGUGGCUCCUAGGGAUUAAAAUUUUGGCUAUC
This 1336-nucleotide unclassified non-coding RNA is filed under the name Hevea brasiliensis (rubber tree). The record is from RNAcentral. Lineage: Eukaryota; Viridiplantae; Streptophyta; Magnoliopsida; Malpighiales; Euphorbiaceae.